Molecule: ribosomal RNA, 252 nt
Filed under: uncultured bacterium
Lineage: Bacteria
Description: partial 16S ribosomal RNA
Rfam family: Bacterial small subunit ribosomal RNA
Source: RNAcentral
ACAGAGGGUGCAAACGUUGUUCGGAAUUACUGGGCGUAAAGCGCGUGUAGGCGGUCGGGCAAGUCGGAUGUGAAAGCCCAUGGCUCAACCAUGGAAGUGCACUCGAAACUGCUCGACUAGAGUCUCGGAGAGGAAGGUGGAAUGCUUGGUGUAGAGGUGAAAUUCGUAGAUAUCAAGCGGAACACCGGUGGCGAAGGCGGCCUUCUGGACGAUGACUGACGCUGAGAUGCGAAAGCGUGGGGAGCAAACAGG